Molecule: long non-coding RNA, 215 nt
Filed under: Elaeis guineensis (African oil palm)
Lineage: Eukaryota; Viridiplantae; Streptophyta; Magnoliopsida; Arecales; Arecaceae
Description: long non-coding RNA (EGUI_LNC078881)
Source: RNAcentral
GCCCGAAUGCUUUUUUCCCCUUCUUAUUCAUCUUGCCACCUUUAGGAUUCAACUUUUUUUUUGAACCCUUCAUGCCUGAUUUCUUCUUAAAGUUUUUUGCCAUAAGAAGAACUAAAGUCUUGUCCUUUUUAAUAUGGCUCUCAGCUGUUUUGAGCACAUUUAAUAGCUCAGAGAAAGAGGUAUUCAGUUUGUUCAUGUGAUAGUUCAUAACAAAC